Molecule: ribosomal RNA, 497 nt
Filed under: uncultured bacterium
Lineage: Bacteria
Description: partial 16S ribosomal RNA
Rfam family: Bacterial small subunit ribosomal RNA
Source: RNAcentral
GAUGAACGCUGGCGGCGUGCCUAAUACAUGCAAGUCGAGCGAACAGACGAGGAGCUUGCUCCUCUGACGUUAGCGGCGGACGGGUGAGUAACACGUGGAUAACCUACCUAUAUGACUGGGAUAACUUCGGGAAACCGGAUCUAAUACCGGAUAAUAUAUUGAACCGCAUGGUUCAAUAGUUAAUUACGGUUUUUCUGUCACUUAUAGAUUGAUCCGCGCCGCAUUAGCUAGUUGGUAAGGUAACGGCUUACCAAGGCAACGAUGCGUAGCCGACCUGAGAGGGGGAUCGGCCACACGGGAACGGAGACACGGUCAAGAGUACUACGGGAGGAAGCAGAAGGGAAUGUUAGGAAAUGGGGGAAAGCAUGACGGAGCAAAGCCGAGUGAGAGAUGAAGGUCUUCGGAGCGUAAAACUCUGUUAUUAGGGAAGAAAAAAAGUGUAAGUAAAUAUGCACGAAUUGACGGUAACUAAUCAGAAAGCAACGGCUAACUACGUG